AUUCUUGUCAAGUUCGAGGCCCUCUUCAACGUGGUAUAAUUAAUUGAGCGAGAAAGUUUCAUUUGUGGCAAGUCAAAAAUUGAAGAAAAGAUUUUGGAAGAAACGGGAUUUGAAUUUGAGUGAGCGUAAGAAGCGGAUAAGGUAUAGAUGUUCUGGAUCCAUCAGCG
This is a long non-coding RNA of Solanum dulcamara, 167 nucleotides long. RefSeq lists it as uncharacterized. NCBI's taxonomy places the organism in Eukaryota, Viridiplantae, Streptophyta, Magnoliopsida, Solanales, Solanaceae. The transcript is spliced from 3 exons. The record is from RefSeq and is a predicted model, not a curated record.